Molecule: ribosomal RNA, 399 nt
Filed under: uncultured bacterium
Lineage: Bacteria
Description: bacterial SSU rRNA
Rfam family: Bacterial small subunit ribosomal RNA
Source: RNAcentral
GGAAUAUUGGGCAAUGGGCGAAAGCCUGACCCAGCAACGCCGCGUGAAGGAAGAAGGUUUUCGGAUCGUAAACUUCUGUCCUUGGUGAAGAUAAUGACGGUAGCCAAGGAGGAAGCCCCGGCUAACUACGUGCCAGCAGCCGCGGUAAUACGUAGGGGGCGAGCGUUGUCCGGAAUGAUUGGGCGUAAAGGGCGCGUAGGCGGCUGAGUAAGUCUGGAGUGAAAGUCCUGCUUUUAAGGUGGGAAUUGCUUUGGAUACUGCUUAGCUUGAGUGCAGGAGAGGUUAUCGGAAUUCCCGGUGUAGCGGUGAAAUGCGUAGAGAUCGGGAGGAACACCAGUGGCGAAGGCGGGUAACUGGACUGCAACUGACGCUGAGGCGCGAAAGUGUGGGGAGCAAACA